RNAcentral lists this ribosomal RNA (275 nucleotides) under uncultured bacterium. RNAcentral describes it as "partial 16S ribosomal RNA". It matches the Rfam family "Bacterial small subunit ribosomal RNA", at positions 79 to 353 of the family's 1533-position model. The record is from RNAcentral.
CUAAGUUUGAUGGCGACCGGCGCACGGGCGAGUAACACGUAUCCAACCUGCCGAUGACUCGGGGAUAGCCUUUCGAAAGAAAGAUUAAUACCCGAUGGCAUAGUUCUUCCGCAUGGUAGAACUAUUAAAGAAUUUCGGUCAUCGAUGGGGAUGCGUUCCAUUAGGUUGUUGGCGGGGUAACGGCCCACCAAGCCUUCGAUGGAUAGGGGUUCUGAGAGGAAGGUCCCCCACAUUGGAACUGAGACACGGUCCAAACUCCUACGGGAGGCAGCAUG